This 2922-nucleotide ribosomal RNA is filed under the name Leclercia sp. W6. RNAcentral's name for it is "bacterial LSU rRNA". It matches the Rfam family "Bacterial large subunit ribosomal RNA". The record is from RNAcentral. Lineage: Bacteria; Pseudomonadati; Pseudomonadota; Gammaproteobacteria; Enterobacterales; Enterobacteriaceae.
GGGUUGUGAGGUUAAGCGACUAAGCGUACACGGUGGAUGCCCUGGCAGUCAGAGGCGAUGAAGGACGUGCUAAUCUGCGAAAAGCGCCGGCGAGGUGAUAUGAACCCUUGACCCGGCGAUGUCCGAAUGGGGAAACCCAGUGUGAUUCGUCACACUAUCGUUAGCUGAAUACAUAGGCUAACGAGGCGAACCGGGGAACUGAAACAUCUAAGUACCCGAGGAAAAGAAAUCAACCGAGAUUCCCCAGUAGCGGCGAGCGAACGGGAGCAGCCCGGAGUCUGAAUCAGCUUGUGUGUUAGUGGAAGCGUCUGGAAAGUCGCAGGGUACAGGGUGAUACUCCCGUACACGAAAGCACACAUGCUGUGAACUCGAAGAGUAGGGCGGGACACGUGGUAUCCUGUCUGAAUAUGGGGGACCAUCCUCCAAGGCUAAAUACUCCUGACUGACCGAUAGUGAACCAGUACCGUGAGGGAAAGGCGAAAAGAACCCCGGCGAGGGGAGUGAAAAAGAACCUGAAACCGUGUACGUACAAGCAGUGGGAGCAUCCUUCGGGGUGUGACUGCGUACCUUUUGUAUAAUGGGUCAGCGACUUAUAUUCUGUAGCAAGGUUAACCGUAUAGGGGAGCCGAAGGGAAACCGAGUCUUAACUGGGCGUUAAGUUGCAGGGUAUAGACCCGAAACCCGGUGAUCUAGCCAUGGGCAGGUUGAAGGUUGGGUAACACUAACUGGAGGACCGAACCGACUAAUGUUGAAAAAUUAGCGGAUGACCUGUGGCUGGGGGUGAAAGGCCAAUCAAACCGGGAGAUAGCUGGUUCUCCCGAAAGCUAUUUAGGUAGCGCCUCGUGAAUUCAUCUCCGGGGUAGAGCACUGUUUCGGCUAGGGGCCAUCCCGGCUUACCAACCCGAUGCAAACUGCGAAUACCGGAGAAUGUUAUCACGGGAGACACACGGCGGGUGCUAACGUCCGUCGUGAAGAGGGAAACAACCCAGACCGCCAGCUAAGGUCCCAAAGUCAUGGUUAAGUGGGAAACGAUGUGGGAAGGCACAGACAGCCAGGAUGUUGGCUUAGAAGCAGCCAUCAUUUAAAGAAAGCGUAAUAGCUCACUGGUCGAGUCGGCCUGCGCGGAAGAUGUAACGGGGCUAAACCAUGCACCGAAGCUGCGGCAGCGACACUAUGUGUUGUUGGGUAGGGGAGCGUUCUGUAAGCCUGCGAAGGUGUGCCGUGAGGCAUGCUGGAGGUAUCAGAAGUGCGAAUGCUGACAUAAGUAACGAUAAAGCGGGUGAAAAGCCCGCUCGCCGGAAGACCAAGGGUUCCUGUCCAACGUUAAUCGGGGCAGGGUGAGUCGACCCCUAAGGCGAGGCCGAAAGGCGUAGUCGAUGGGAAACAGGUUAAUAUUCCUGUACUCGGUGUUACUGCGAAGGGGGACGGAGAAGGCUAUGUUGGCCGGGCGACGGUUGUCCCGGUUUAAGCAUGUAGGCGGAGGUUCCAGGUAAAUCCGGUACCUUGUUAACGCUGAGGUGUGAUGACGAGGCACUACGGUGCUGAAGCAACAAAUGCCCUGCUUCCAGGAAAAGCCUCUAAGCAUCAGGUAACAUCAAAUCGUACCCCAAACCGACACAGGUGGUCAGGUAGAGAAUACCAAGGCGCUUGAGAGAACUCGGGUGAAGGAACUAGGCAAAAUGGUGCCGUAACUUCGGGAGAAGGCACGCUGAUAUGUAGGUGAAGCCCCUGCGGGUGGAGCUGAAAUCAGUCGAAGAUACCAGCUGGCUGCAACUGUUUAUUAAAAACACAGCACUGUGCAAACACGAAAGUGGACGUAUACGGUGUGACGCCUGCCCGGUGCCGGAAGGUUAAUUGAUGGGGUUAGCUGUAAGGCGAAGCUCUUGAUCGAAGCCCCGGUAAACGGCGGCCGUAACUAUAACGGUCCUAAGGUAGCGAAAUUCCUUGUCGGGUAAGUUCCGACCUGCACGAAUGGCGUAAUGAUGGCCAGGCUGUCUCCACCCGAGACUCAGUGAAAUUGAAAUCGCUGUGAAGAUGCAGUGUACCCGCGGCAAGACGGAAAGACCCCGUGAACCUUUACUAUAGCUUGACACUGAACACUGGUCCUUGAUGUGUAGGAUAGGUGGGAGGCUUUGAAGUGUGGACGCCAGUCUGCAUGGAGCCGUCCUUGAAAUACCACCCUUUAAUGGCUGGUGUUCUAACGUGGACCCGUUACCCGGGUUGCGGACAGUGUCUGGUGGGUAGUUUGACUGGGGCGGUCUCCUCCUAAAGAGUAACGGAGGAGCACGAAGGUCAGCUAAUCCUGGUCGGACAUCAGGAGGUUAGUGCAAUGGCAUAAGCUGGCUUGACUGCGAGAGUGACGGCUCGAGCAGGUGCGAAAGCAGGUCAUAGUGAUCCGGUGGUUCUGAAUGGAAGGGCCAUCGCUCAACGGAUAAAAGGUACUCCGGGGAUAACAGGCUGAUACCGCCCAAGAGUUCAUAUCGACGGCGGUGUUUGGCACCUCGAUGUCGGCUCAUCACAUCCUGGGGCUGAAGUAGGUCCCAAGGGUAUGGCUGUUCGCCAUUUAAAGUGGUACGCGAGCUGGGUUUAGAACGUCGUGAGACAGUUCGGUCCCUAUCUGCCGUGGGCGCUGGAGAAUUGAGGGGGCUGCUCCUAGUACGAGAGGACCGGAGUGGACGCAUCACUGGUGUUCGGGUUGUCAUGCCAAUGGCACUGCCCGGUAGCUAAAUGCGGAAGAGAUAAGUGCUGAAAGCAUCUAAGCACGAAACUUGCCCCGAGAUGAGUUCUCCCUGACUCCUUGAGAGUCCUGAAGGAACGUUGAAGACGACGACGUUGAUAGGCCGGGUGUGUAAGCGCAGCGAUGCGUUGAGCUAACCGGUACUAAUGAACCGUGAGGCUUAACCUUACAACGCCGAAGCUGUU